This 3234-nucleotide long non-coding RNA is filed under the name Vigna radiata. RNAcentral describes it as "long non-coding RNA (VRAD_LNC017581)". The record is from RNAcentral. Lineage: Eukaryota; Viridiplantae; Streptophyta; Magnoliopsida; Fabales; Fabaceae.
AGCCCUAAAAUCCCUUUCUCCUUGCACGUUCGUUUUCAUUCCUUUCUCCCUUGCAUUGGUUCGUCUAUUCUUUUCUCUUUUCAUUGAUAUUUCUUAUCGAUUAGCCAUGGUUCAUUUUCUUUCAGAAUCCAUGGUUCAUUUUCUUUCAGAAUUGUAGGUAGACGGAGUUGUAGCGGUGGUUGCGUGGAUCGGCCGACCGUGAAGCUUUCACUCGUGCUACAACCUGAGGUACAUCGUUCUAACACCCUUCUUGCUUCUUUUUGGUGUAUCGCCUGCCUUUUCUGUUCCGCCGUAAGGAAACUGGGUUACUGCGCCACAAGAAGUUUCUGGAUUUNACUUAAGCCUUUUUCACUACCAAACUUGACAACAACUCCAUUUUCAUCCUCCAAUCCAAGAAAUUCAAGGUAAAAACGAGAUUACUACAGCAAAAUGAUGAUAAAACCGAAUGGACAAUGGGUCUCCCUUCCACCAAAGAAACCACCAUGAAAAAGUAAAGAAGAAGCUUCAAACUCAAGCAUUCAACCUUCAAAACGAAAAUCUAAAGAGAGAAAUGGUACAGCUUCAUUCCAUCAAGCAAGAACAAACAUUGUUCAAACAAUAGAAGAAGAAAAACGUGAUCUUGGUCCAUUCAAGCUCAAAAACGAAAAAUGGCACUCCAAAGCUCCAAAGAGAGAGUUCAUACAUGCAAAGCCAAAGCAAAAAUGUAGAAUGAGUGUGUUGUGUGUGGUCUCGGCAAUUCCCCUAGGAAAUGUCAUCCCUCUCUCAAAAUAGGUGGGGUCCACCUCCUAAAAACCUAGGGUUUUGGUGCCAAGUGUCCCACACAUUGGGCUUCUACAAAAUUUGCCACAAAAGGGCCCAAAUGCACUAAAUCUAAUUAAGGUUUCUAAAAAAAAUGAAAUUACAACUUAAUAAAAAUGGAAAUGACUAAACGUUGAGUCUUGAAUGAUCAUGCCACCAUCCCUAAUGCUCCAAAUGAUGUUUCCCAAAAUUUCCCUNCAACCAAAAUACACUUAAUCAGCUCAGAAAACCCAAAUUAGCACAAUUACGAAUUUCCGACCAAAUUAAGCAAAAUUCGGAAAAGGGGGAAAUAACAGACAAUUAAGCACAAUUCCCUGGUUUAUUUAAGUGCAAUAAACUAUAUAUAGUUCAAGAAAUAACCACUCAUCAAAAUAGACCACACUUAGUCUUUUGCACUCCUGGGUAAAACCAAGACGAAAACCGGGGAACUACUCAAACAUCAGGGAGGUGACACAGACUCGACAGAUAUACAACAAAGACUCACAAGACAGAAACAGAGCUGCACAAUUCUCACAAAAUCUGGAUAGUGAAAGGAAAUGGACAGUAUCCAACACAAAAGAAAUGAAAGCAGAUACUCACAGAAUCAUCCAAACAAUUCAGUCCAUGGAAAACAGUCAAUCUGUUCAAGAGAUGAAUCAAGAGCAACAGAGCCUCACAGAUGCAUUAUCAGUAUUUCUCUCAAGUGUCUAAGGGUAAAGAAAUUCAACUCAAUGCACUCAAGAAAACAAGCACAAACAGACUUGGCAAGCCUCUAAUAUGAACACUCAAACACAUAUGCAUGUUCAAAUCAAAAGGUCUUUUCAUGGUUGUAAUGGGGCCAAGGACAAGGGAGGAUACAUCUGGAUAAAAAGCUACAAACCAAAAGGAAUAGAGGAGCAAUGGGGAACAAGUGUAAACACCUUCAAACACACCCACAACCUCUAAUUCCAUCAUCUUCUUGACUCCAUUAUUCAUAAAAAUUUUUUCUGUAUUUUUCCUUUUUUUUUUUUUUAUUUUGUCUCUUUUCUUUUUCUAUUCAACAUACAAUUCAAAAGACAAGAUACAUAAUAUUUACAAUGCAAUUGCAAGAAGAAGACUCACUAGCCAAUUCAUCUGCAACUCCUAAGAGACCACACUUAUUCCCAAAACAAUUCCAAAGCUCCAAAAUUCCCUAAGGUUCAGGUAAUCAUGGUUUUUCACUUAGGCUAUUGUAUGAGCUUCAAAACAAAGAAAUGGGGGAAGUAUAGGCUCAAGGGGGCUAACAAAGAAAUCAUAACAGGGUAGGCUAUCUGGCUAGAGAGGCUCAAUCAACAAAAUGCCUUUAUCAUUUUCAAACAUGCUCAUGAAUCAAGAAUUANUUGGCAUCACUAUAAAUCGCCUCUUAUGACAUCUUGAGACUAAAUAGUUCAAUGUGAUCUAUCCUUUUACUAAAUAGUUCAAUGUGAUGCCUUGUUCAAAAUCUUUACAACACUUAGAGAACAAUCCACUCCAAUUAGAAUCUGUAAUUUUAAUUAUUUUAAAUAAAGAGCUGAGUCCACUAGUUUUCAUAUCAGAUAAAAAAAUGCGUUUGAACCAAAAGAUCUCAAUUGUAUUAUGUUAUUCACUGAUAGUCAAAAUCCUUUGGCAUAAAAGCAUUAUAUUGUUUGAGAUACGAAUCCACUUGAUUUUUAAGGAUUUCAUUUUUUAACGACUUAUUACCAUCAGUGUGAACAAGCAAUGCUCGAGAUUGUGGUCUUACUAAUUAGAUGUGAUCAAUCCUUUUACUAACGAGUCACAUGUGAUACCUAAUACAAUAUCACUUAUAGGGUUCGAGAUGAAUAUGCCCAAAAAUCUAUAUAAUCUUAGUUGCUUUAAAUAAUGAAUCAAAAGAUCUCGAUUGUAUUAUUAUAAUAACUGAUAAACAGUUCAGCAUCCAAGUGCUGUGUUGUUUCAGAAAUGAAUUAAUUAUUAUAAUGAAAUUAAUGUAAGUACAUGUAUUUCCCAAUUUUAGUACUUUGUAAUGGUCACUGUUUUAGUGUUGCAGUUCUUCAAUAAUUAUACAAAAUUUGUAAUAUUGUUGUUCUAGUGAUGCAUUUAUGACAUAAAUUUAAAGUUUGACGGUGUAGAAUAUUUUGGCAGCAUCAUCUUUACAUAAAGUGCUCUAUUNUGAUAAUUUGGUUAUAAUUGUGAUUCCUUUGUACUCAAGUAAUGCUUUCUAGUAUUAACACUGCAGACUUUGUUUUGAUAAUCCGAAAGAAAAAAUAAAUCUGACAGGAAUAUUAUUUGCAGAUCAAUUAUAUUUUAUCAUUUGAAGAGGUCACUUUGAAGUUCAUUACUGCUGGUGAACAGGUAUUUUCAUGUUGCUGGCCCUUAAAUAUGAAUUAUACUGUGGCUGCAUUCUUUGUCAAUGUGUGUAUUUUUAGAAAAAUUUUACAUUGUAAUUUUUUCUUUCUAUAAGAAAAUACUUUUUGAUUAUUA